Molecule: long non-coding RNA, 299 nt
Filed under: Olea europaea subsp. europaea
Lineage: Eukaryota; Viridiplantae; Streptophyta; Magnoliopsida; Lamiales; Oleaceae
Source: RNAcentral
AAUUGUCUUAUAAUGAUAGUAUCUUGUACCUGAAUCGGUGGCUCACUUUUUCUAAGUAAUGGAGAAGAGGAUCGAAGCAUGCCACUAAAAGACUCUACUGAGACAAAGAUGGGCUAUCAAAAACGUAGAGAAGGUAGGAUGGGCAGUUGGUUAGAUCUAGCAUGCAUCAUACAUGGACGGUAGUUGGAGUCGGCGGCUCUCCCAGAGGUCCCUCAUUUGAGAUCCCUGGGGAAGAGGAUCAAGUUGGCCCUUGCGAACAGCUUGAUGUACUAUCUCCCUUCAACCAUUUCGUUGAAGUA